RNAcentral lists this ribosomal RNA (253 nucleotides) under uncultured bacterium. RNAcentral's name for it is "partial 16S ribosomal RNA". It matches the Rfam family "Bacterial small subunit ribosomal RNA", at positions 524 to 776 of the family's 1533-position model. The record is from RNAcentral.
UACGUAGGGUGCGAGCGUUGUCCGGAAUUAUUGGGCGUAAAGGGCUCGUAGGCGGUUUGUCACGUCGGGAGUGAAAACUCAGGGCUUAACCCUGAGCCUGCUUCCGAUACGGGCAGACUAGAGGUAUGCAGGGGAGAAUGGAAUUCCUGGUGUAGCGGUGAAAUGCGCAGAUAUCAGGAGGAACACCGGUGGCGAAGGCGGGACUCUGGGCCGAUACUGACGCUGAGGAGCGAAAGCGUGGGGAGCAAACAGG